GUGCUCACUUUGGCAGCACCUAUACUGAAACUGAAUGAUACGGAGAAGAUUAGCAUGGUCCCUGUGCAAGGAUGACAUGCAAAUUUGUGACAUAUUCCGUAUUUUU
This is a small nuclear RNA of Ochotona curzoniae (black-lipped pika), 106 nucleotides long. The record is from RefSeq and is a predicted model, not a curated record. Lineage: Eukaryota; Metazoa; Chordata; Mammalia; Lagomorpha; Ochotonidae.